RNAcentral lists this small nuclear RNA (196 nucleotides) under Olea europaea subsp. europaea. Its description in RNAcentral is "U2 spliceosomal RNA". It matches the Rfam family "U2 spliceosomal RNA". From Rfam's summary of the family: U2 is a small nuclear RNA (snRNA) component of the spliceosome (involved in pre-mRNA splicing). Complementary binding between U2 snRNA (in an area lying towards the 5' end but 3' to hairpin I) and the branchpoint sequence (BPS) of the intron results the bulging out of an unpaired adenosine, on the BPS, which initiates a nucleophilic attack at the intronic 5' splice site, thus starting the first of two transesterification reactions that mediate splicing. The record is from Rfam by way of RNAcentral. Lineage: Eukaryota; Viridiplantae; Streptophyta; Magnoliopsida; Lamiales; Oleaceae.
AUACCUUUCUCGGCCUUUUGGCUAAGAUCAAGUGUAGUAUCUGUUCUUAUCAGUUUAAUAUCUGAUAUGUGGACCAAUGGUUCACACGAUAUUAAAUUUAUUUUUUAAGGGGGAGAGUCCAUUACAGUAGCUUGCUGCUGGGGCUCUCGAGUGUCGUCCUGGCGUUGCACUACUGCCUGGGCCUGGCACACCCCAC